This is a non-coding RNA of Acanthosepion pharaonis, 96 nucleotides long. Lineage: Eukaryota; Metazoa; Mollusca; Cephalopoda; Sepiida; Sepiidae. The record is from the annotation of a GenBank genome assembly.
UUAUAUGCCGGUUCUCGUACGAUCAGUGAAGUUAAACAACGUCAAGCUUGGUCAAUACCUAGGCGGGUGACCGCUUGGGAAUACCGGGUGAUGUCA